Molecule: long non-coding RNA, 723 nt
Filed under: Phoenix dactylifera (date palm)
Lineage: Eukaryota; Viridiplantae; Streptophyta; Magnoliopsida; Arecales; Arecaceae
Description: long non-coding RNA (PDAC_LNC018696)
Source: RNAcentral
AGCACCUUGGUGAGUCUGCUGGGCUUGUAAAAUGGCGGGGAGUGGACCUGUUGGAAUUUUGUGAGAUCGGAUCAGGCCUCUGUAAUGAGGGCUUGCUGGCUUGGGCCCGUGAGGUGGGGUGGCCCGAAACUUGGGCCCAAAAGGGGCCUGUCUGGGGUCGAUGGAGGGUUGCUCGGUUGAGCUGCAGUGGCCGAAGACGAAAAGGAAUAAGGGGAAAAAAGGGGGGGGGGGGCGGCGGAAGGUGACAGGGGUUCGGAAUGGGGACGGCCGGCGGCGGCGCAGACGAAGCGGCAGGCGGGUGGCGGCAGAGCUGCGGUGACGACGGUGGCGCGUUGAGGUGGGGCGGCGUUGUGUGCGAGCGGAGGCGGAAACGGCGAGGCGGCGAGGGCGGUGCAGUAUGGGAGGUGGGUUGGCGACGGAUCUCGACGGCGGCGGGGUGGCGAGGCCGGAGGGGCGACGGCUGCGGCGGCUAGGGUGGAGCGACGCUUCACGGUCAGCGGCGAUGCUGCGAUCGGCCGCGGGGAAAGAGGCGCACGGCUUGGCGGCGCUGCGGCGACGGUGGGGCCGUGCUAAGCGGGCGGUGGCGACGGCGAAGUGGCGGCGGCGUAGGCGGUGGCGGAGAAGCGACGGCGGACGCAGUGAUGCGGCUUGGCAACGGCGGAAGAAGAAGCGGCGGCCGAUCGAGACGACGGACAGAGGUAAGGAUUUUCCCUUUUUUUUUUU